CCCACGUCCUGGGAGGGUCCCCACCAUGGCCUGGAUGGUGUUUCUGCUCAGGCUCCUCACUUACGGCUCAGGGAUAGAUGCUCAGACUGUGGUCCAGGAGCCAGCACUGUCAGUGUCUCCAGGAGGGACAGUCACCCUGACCUGUGGCCUCAGCUCUGGGUCAGUCACUAGCAGUAACUACCCUGGCUGGUUCCAGCAGACCCCAGGCCAGGCUCCCAGAACUCUUAUCUACUAUACAAACAGCCGCCUCUCUGGGAUCCCUGAUCGCUUCUCUGGCUCCAUCUCUGGGAACAAAGCCGCCCUCACCAUCACGGGGGCCCAGCCUGAGGACGAGGCUGUCUAUUACUGUGCUCUAUACACCGGUAGUUGCAAUAAUACCACAUUGUACCUCCACGGGGCUAGAGGGGCCGGGGAGCGCAGCCCGCCCCCACCCACACCGCCCCCUCCUCCGCCGCCGCUGCCGCUGCCCACACACUCAGAAUCCCUGGCCUCGCUCCCGGAGGCAGGGACCGUGCAGGUACGCGGGCGCCGGCCUCCGGCGCGUUCCAACCCGCGGGCCUGCCCGCCCGGGCAUCGCCGACGCGCGCCAAUUUCCGCAUCCGGCUCCUGGCGCUUCCGGUCUUAG
Dama dama (fallow deer) is the source of this 625-nucleotide non-coding RNA. The record is from the annotation of a RefSeq genome assembly. NCBI's taxonomy places the organism in Eukaryota, Metazoa, Chordata, Mammalia, Artiodactyla, Cervidae.